This 4316-nucleotide long non-coding RNA is filed under the name Heterocephalus glaber (naked mole-rat). RNAcentral describes it as "lncRNA (ENSHGLG00000035839.1)". Lineage: Eukaryota; Metazoa; Chordata; Mammalia; Rodentia; Bathyergidae. The record is from RNAcentral.
UGGGAGGAGAACUUUUCUAUUCUAAGACAGGAUCUUGGGUUAGCUCAACAGAUCAGGAAUGAUCAGGAGUAUAAGACUUUCUUUAUAAUACAGAACAUUUACCUUGGAUAUCAAGGAGUGGCCAAGGCUUAAUUUAAAAAAUGACUGCUGUAUCCUACUGCUCCCCUCAAAACCUGAAUUUUUCAAGGACAUCAGAAAAAGCGCUUAAGUAAUCCUUGGCUUUGGGCCAUGGGGUAUGGUGUGGUAAAGGGAAGAUUUUGGAAUCUCAUACUAGAAAGAUAAAAAGAGGAGUAUCAGAGUGGCUGCAAUCCAGCGCUCUGCAGAAAGGUGGAGGUGCAAGUUCAGGGAGUCAAAACUUCGGGAAGCUGUGGAGGGGACAGAGAGCAAGGGUAAAAAGCAAGCCAGCUUCUCCUCUCCGGGCAAAGGCAAGCCUCUAGCUCUUGGCACAAAGGCAUCUUCACUGUGGCCUGAUCUUGCCAGCGUCAAUUCUGAGAGACUCUGAAAGGGGUGAGACCAUCAAGGGAGUGACUUAUCAUGGCUCAGUUCCCAUGUCAAGGGGCUGAGUUGAGCUGGGAGCCUUGGUGUCACCCAACAAUCACUGCUGGUGGUGCUGUGAUGAUGUCACAGAGGAGCCCCACCCUGGUGUCCUCGGAGCUGGACCAAGGACCCAGAAGGAAAGUCCACCUUCCCAGCACAGCUGAGCCGUCCACCCUCUCGGCUACUUGUCAGGCUGACUACCAGCUCAAAGGGGUGAGCAGUAUCUGGACAGCUGGAAAUGCUGCUCUUUCAGUUUUCCUGUCCAGGGAGUGACAUACUACACAGGGAAGGAGGGCUGCAUUUGUUAAAAGUUCCCGGUUGUUUUCGUAGCGAGAACUAGUGUGCAUCUCACCCUGGAAAAUAGUCUUAGCAAUGUGAGAGUUUGAUUUAAUGAUCCGCAUUCCCAGAGAACUGUGCUGAUUUUAAAACUCAGCUAAACUGUCCAUGGAGAAAACCUAGCCCAAAGCAAACUCAGCAGAACAGAAGAGGACUCCCUUCUGAAAAUCGGUUGUUGAAGGGGAGGAGCAUCCCAGGACCCUAGGUUAAGAGCUGCCCUAGAGUUGGUAGAACAGAAACAGAAAAGAGACCAGCAGCCAGAGUAAAGGUGGAGGGACCAGGACACGCUGCCACAAAUCCACAGAGAGGCCUGCACAAUCCAGAAACAAUGUCAACGGACGAUAUGAGUAAGCCUAGCAACCCCAAGACCCCUGAGCCCAAGCACUGUGAUCCCAGGUGUGAACAGAAGUGUGAGUCCAGCUGCCAGCCCAGCUAUUUAAAGAAGCUGCUGCGAGGCUGCUCUGAAAAGUGCUCACGCGAGAAGUGUCCUCCACCUCCAGAGUGCCCGCCGGCCGUGCCCCCCCAAGCCCUGCUCCAAGCCUUGCCCUCCUAAGUGCACCCCUGCCUGCCCACCCCCAGAGUGAGGCACCAUGGUUGCCACCACCAUGCCGCCACCACGGCCCCGUACGACGCCUGCGGCUGGAACCCAAGCCCUGACCUGACGAGUAAAGGUGACUUCUGCUGCGCAUGGCCUCCCAGGGUCCUGGGGGGUUUGCUUUCCUCCGUCGUCAUCGUUUCAGAGCAUGGAAGCACCAAGAACCAAUCCCUAAGGAGCGAGUGGGACCAGAGUUCCAGACCUCCACUACCAAAGCCCUUCGAGUCCCCGCUGCCCUCUGUCCCUGUCUGCUUCUUAGAGGAAGCUGCCCGUCCUGCAGAGUGCAUCGCAGGAGCACAGGCCCCUGGGAGAACAGUGAACAUGGCGGCAGCUGGGAAAAUGCAGGAACCCCAGGGAGUGAAACGUAGAGGGCCUGAGAGGAAAAGCGGAGGCGGACUUUAGCAAACUCUUAGUACGGUAUCCUAAUGGCUAUGCAGAUGGCUCUGAGAACCCACCGUGUGGGUUUAAACUCUAGCUCUGUUUCCUAGCAACUUUGUGAUUUAUGCAAGUUAUUUAAUUUUUCUGUGCCUCAGUUUCCUUCUCACUGCCGAAGUUGCAGCACUGUUCUGAGACUCGGAAGCUGACAAAUGCCUGGUGCACAGGGUACUGGAACAUAGGGGUACUGAGUGGAGGGAGUACCCUACACUUGGCCGGGCCUAACACUCACACAACUUAAUUGCCUGCACUUUUCUUCCUCGACGAAGUGUAAGACUCCUGAGCACACCGGUCAGGCUCUAAUACAACCCGCUAGACCCAGCUGGACAGUCUCACAAAAAUAGAAAAGGAGUUGUAUCCAUUCCUUGGGUUUGAUGCUGAGCUAUCCAAUGAUGUAACGUCACUAUUGAGAGGGUCCCAGUGAAAGGGACACAGGAGCUCUACUUUGCAGUUUUCUGUAAAUCUGUAGUAUUUCCAAAUGAAAACUUAGAUACAAAAAACUAGAUAUGUAUGUGGGGGGACCCCGUUAGGAAUGGACAGAGAGAAGGCACUCACAGCUAACACCUUAGUGGGGAUUAUUUACAAAGAGCUAGAGUCCACAUCAGACUGGCUUAAUUCACAAGAGGGAAUUUACUGGCUCAUGUUGCUGAGGAUAUGCAAGAGAGACAUUAGCACAGAGAACUGCAGCAACAAGGAAGCCCUUCAGGGGAUGGGUACGCAGAUUGCUCCUCCAUUUUAGUCUCUCUCAGCGCCCUGAGAUAUAUCCCACCCUCUCCUAAUGUCUCCCCCUGUGCACAAAUUGGGUAUGAGGACACUCCAGUUGUCUCCAGGAAAGGACACUGGUGGCCUAGAAGGUCAUGUGCCCACCCCUUUAGGCAAGCAGAUGACAGAGCUCUGCCAAGCAGAUCAACCGAGCUAUGGAUUAUUACAGUCCACAGUAUCUAAAUGGAAGUAGGUUUAGCAUUCUCUACAGUCAUAGGAAGAGGUCAUAAAAAAGGUCAGCUCUGGGAUGUUCUCCAAAUCAUGGCAUAUCAACAGCUCCAUCCUCCUCAGGCUAGAGGACGGUUCAGGCAACAGAGGGUAUGGCAAGUACAGAGAGUUCAAACUAUGCCAAAAAAAAAAAAAAAAAAGAUACCAGAGACCCCCUUUAAGACCCAGGCCUUGUCAUCAGCUAGUUACAGAUGUAGGCCAUUAGAAGAGGGAGCAAGACAAUGACUUUAGGGGUCCACCUCCUCAUUUUUCAAAUGUGAAAACUAGUGGUUACUUGUCUAAUGUGAAGAUGACUUGAAACCUCAGGGUCUCUAGGACAGGAUGAAAGCCUGAUCCUAGGAUCUCACACUCCAGAGCUCUGUACAGUACUGUCUGCUGGAGGCCAAGAACCACUAGAACCCCAUGUCAGAGCCAUGCGGGCUAUGGUGGAUGGCCGAUGACCACAGGAAAACCCUCCCACCUCACAGGAGAUCAUAAAGAAGGAAGCAAAAGGCUGAAGGUGAAGCUCAGAGUACAGCAAUUGCCUAACAUGCACAAAGCCCUGAGUUUGAUCCCCAGCACAGGGGAUAAAGAGGAACAAAAAGGAAGAAGGGGAAGAAAGGAAGGGGGAGAGAAUAAUGUGACACCCUUUUGCAUCUAUUAAAUGAUCACUUUCAAUUAAUAAGUCCCAGAACUCCCAUGUGAAAAUUGUGUCACUGUCAGUUGGAAUAUAAAUAAAUAUCAUUUUAGGAAACAAUUUGUCCAACAAGAUAAUAGACAUCAAAGGCAUGAAGUGAUUCACUAUUUUGACUCAAAGGAUUUACUUUAUAGAACUUAGGGCCAAAAAAAAUUUCUAACUGGGAAGAAAAAAUAAUUGCAAAAUGGGAGGAAAUGCUGUAUAAACAAAAGUGAUCAUCAUAGUAUAACUUUAAAAAUUCCAAUAUCUAACAAUGCAUGAUUAAAUGAACACGAACCUAUUACUCCAUGGAGUAUUACAGUCAUUUAAAAUGUACUGAAGAGGGGAUGUGGCUCAGUGAUGGAGUGCUUGCCUUGCGUGCAGUAGGCCCUGGGGUCCAAUCUCCAGCAAGAAAAGAAAAAUGUACUGAAGAAAAAAAAAGCUCACUUGAAUGUGCAUCAUAAAACAAUUAUCUGUAACAAAAAGCUUCAAUGAAUAAAAAUAAUAGAAAUUAAUUUGUGAACAUUCUAUGUUAGCAUAAUGGGGUGAUGAGUAAUGAUUACUUUUAUUUUUACUGGUGUUGUUAAUAUGCUUUUAUUUUAUAACAGGAAAAAUAAAUAAUCAUGAAAUAAUAAUUCAUUAAAUAAGUAUGAGCACUUCAGAGACCUCCCCAGAGUUCCCGGAAGACUUUAGCAGAGUAUCUCAGGGGACGUGCACCAUGCAGAUGGCACCUCACUUGGGUGCCUUCCGCCUGGAGUACCACUGCCG